UAGAAUUGACGGGGAGCACCACAACGGGUGGAGCUUGCGGUUUAAUUGGAUUCAACGCCGGAAAUCUUACCGGGACCGACAGCAAUAUGAAGGCCAGGCUGAAGACUUUGCCGGAUUAGCUGAGAGGUGGUGCAUGGCCGUCGUCAGUUCGUACUGUGAAGCAUCCUGUUAAGUCAGGCAACGAGCGAGACCCACGCCAACAGUUGCCAGCUCGUCCUCCGGGAUGGUGGGGACACUGUUGGGACCGCCUCUGCUAAAGAGGAGGAAGGAAUGGGCAACGGUAGGUCAGCAUGCCCCGAAUUAUCUGGGCUACACGCGGGCUACAAUGGGUGGGACAAUGGGUAUCGACACCGAAAGGUGAAGGCAAUCUCCUAAACCCAUCCGUAGUUCGGAUUGUGGGCUGCAACUCGCCCACAUGAAGCUGGAAUCUGUAGUAAUCGUGUCUCAAAAUGGCACGGUGAAUAUGUCCCUGCUCCUU
This 478-nucleotide ribosomal RNA is filed under the name uncultured Methanomicrobiales archaeon. RNAcentral's name for it is "bacterial SSU rRNA". It matches the Rfam family "Archaeal small subunit ribosomal RNA", at positions 862 to 1338 of the family's 1478-position model. The record is from RNAcentral. Lineage: Archaea; Methanobacteriati; Methanobacteriota; Methanomicrobia; Methanomicrobiales.